UUAAAUAAUACAAUAGUACUACAACUGAAUGAUUGGGGUUACGUAGACUGGGAACGCAAGCAGCGUUUAUUGUUGUGGAUGUCGCGCAAAGAGCAAGCGCAAAGAGACGACCAACGCGGUUGCUGGGUUCUAAACGCUCUCGGGCUCUCCGCAUUGCAUGGCGGCGGCACAGUACAUUGCAGAUGAUGUAUGUAGUGGUGACACCACUAGAACAACUCAGCGGCGGCGCUGACUCGUUGACAUAUAGCUGGCUGGCUGGCUGGCUGGCUGGUUGCUUCCGCUUCUAGACAAACGCAACGUUCUAGUUGGGACGAGCCGCUCUGGCAAUCUGGUUGAAAAUUCUUAAUAGUACGUGUGCUACGAAUAUUGUGCGUUCGCAAGAAGACCGACCGCGCGCCCGCCCGCUGGACUUUUCUUCCACACGCCUACAAGCAGCAGUUUAGCCGUCAACUGUGAAAACAAAGCUGAACCAGCAGCAGCAGUUUGUUGGAACAAACAGAUACGUUAUUAAGGUGAAUCUAAGGAGCCGCGGAAGGGCGGAAAACACUUGCAUACGUACAUAUACAUACAUGUAUGUAUGUAUGUAUGUAUGCAGCUUUGGGAAAUAGCACAAAAAUUGUGCGCACCACCAGUGCGGUCAUAUUGGAAAAUUACUGUGGUAUAUUUCUGACUUCGCUGCAUAUUGAAAGUGCAUUGGUUGUACUAACUAGAAGUGCAAAUCCAUUGUGCAGUCAAUUACCCGACAAAACGACAUAACACACCAACAACAACAACAGCAACAAUAACUGCAAGUGCGGCAGCACUAACAGAAAACGAUAACGAAGCAAAAGUGCGAUAGUGAAGUAAA
Molecule: long non-coding RNA, 847 nt
Organism: Rhagoletis zephyria (snowberry fruit fly)
Lineage: Eukaryota; Metazoa; Arthropoda; Insecta; Diptera; Tephritidae
Source: RefSeq, a predicted model, not a curated record